GUGGCAGCAGCCGCGGUAAAACCAGCACCUCAAGUGGUCAGGAGGAUUAUUGGGCCUAAAGCAUCCGUAGCCUGUUCUAUAAGUUUCCGGUUAAAUCCAUUAGCUCAACUAAUGGGCCGCCGAAAAUACUGUAGAACUAGGGAGUGGGAGAGGUAGACGGUAUUCGGUAGGAAGGGGUAAAAUCCUUUGAUCUAUUGAGGACCACCUGUGGCGAAGGCGGUCUACCAGAACACGUUCGACGGUGAGGGAUGAAAGCUGGGGGAGCAAACCGGAUUAGAUACCCGGGUAGUCCCAGCUGUAAACGAUGCAGACUCGGUGAUGCGCUGGCUUGUGGCCAGUGCAGUGCCGCAGGGAAGCCGUUAAGUUUGCCGCCUGGGAAGUACGUACGCAAGUAUGAAACUUAAAGGAAUUGGCGGGGGAGCACCACAAGGGGUGAAGCCUGCGGUUCAAUUGGAGUCAACGCCAGAAAUCUUACCCGAAGAGACAGCAGAAUGAAGGUCAAGCUGGAGACUUUACCAGACAAGCUGAGAAGUGGUGCAUGGCCGUCGCCAGCUCGUGCCGUGAGAUGUCCUGUUAAGUCAGGUAACGAGCGAGAUCCCUGCCUCUAGUUGCCACCAUUACUCUCAGGAGUAGUGGGGCGAAUUAGCGGGACCGCCGCAGUUAAUGCGGAGGAAGGAAGGGGCCACGGCAGGUCAGUAUGCCCUGAAACUUUGGGGCCACACGCGGGCUGCAAUGGUAGCGACAAUGGGUUCCGAAUCCGAAAGGAGGAGGCAAUCCUCAAACGCUACCACAGUUAUGAUUGAGGGCUGUAACUCGCCCUCAUGAAUAUGGAAUCCCUAGUAACUGCGUGUCAUUACCGCACAGUGAAUACGUCCCUGCUCCUUGCACACACCGCCCGUC
Molecule: ribosomal RNA, 900 nt
Filed under: uncultured archaeon
Lineage: Archaea
Description: bacterial SSU rRNA
Rfam family: Archaeal small subunit ribosomal RNA
Source: RNAcentral